This 187-nucleotide non-coding RNA is filed under the name Gammaproteobacteria bacterium. RNAcentral describes it as "6S RNA". It matches the Rfam family "6S / SsrS RNA". Rfam says of the family: E. coli 6S RNA was the first non coding RNA to be sequenced, but its function was unknown until recently. It consists of 184 nucleotides that fold into an extended hairpin structure with a large single-stranded internal bulge. The 6S RNA specifically associates with RNA polymerase holoenzyme containing the sigma70 specificity factor. The record is from RNAcentral. Lineage: Bacteria; Pseudomonadati; Pseudomonadota; Gammaproteobacteria.
CGUCUCCUGCAGUGUUCGAUGUCUACCUGGAAUACUUUCGACCCUAACUAUCUACCUCGGGGUCGUGCACUGUCGGCAGCAUGUGUGCAAAACCACUUCGGUGGAUAGCCUUUUGUUGCCACGGCUGACCCCACUUGUUGCUCCCGGUUCGAGAGCGACGGUCGGCGACGGCACAGGUGGGAGGCGU